Small nuclear RNA from Perognathus longimembris pacificus (Pacific pocket mouse), 104 nucleotides. Lineage: Eukaryota; Metazoa; Chordata; Mammalia; Rodentia; Heteromyidae. The record is from RefSeq and is a predicted model, not a curated record.
AAGCUUUGGCAGCACACAUACUAAAAUUGGAAGGAUACAUAUGUAGAUUAGCAUGUCCCCUGCUCAAGGAUGACACACAAAUUUAUGAAGCACUCCAUACUUUU